UACAGAGGGUGCAAGCGUUAAUCGGAAUUACUGGGCGUAAAGCGCACGUAGGCGGUUUUUUAAGUCAGAUGUGAAAGCCCCGGGCUCAACCUGGGAAUUGCAUUUGAAACUGGAAAACUAGAGUGUGUGAGAGGGGGGUAGAAUUCCAAGUGUAGCGGUGAAAUGCGUAGAGAUUUGGAGGAAUACCAGUGGCGAAGGCGGCCCCCUGGCACAACACUGACGCUCAGGUGCGAAAGCGUGGGGAGCAAACAGGAUUAGAAACCCCAGUAGU
This 271-nucleotide ribosomal RNA is filed under the name uncultured bacterium. Its description in RNAcentral is "partial 16S ribosomal RNA". It matches the Rfam family "Bacterial small subunit ribosomal RNA", at positions 524 to 794 of the family's 1533-position model. The record is from RNAcentral.